AGUCGAACGGAAAGGCCCUUCGGGGUACUCGAGUGGCGAACGGGUGAGUAACACGUGGGUGAUCUGCCCUGCACUUUGGGAUAAGCCUGGGAAACUGGGUCUAAUACCGAAUAGGAUCAUGCUCUUCAUGGGGUGUGGUGGAAAGCUUUUGCGGUGUGGGAUGGGCCCGCGGCCUAUCAGCUUGUUGGUGGGGUAAUGGCCUACCAAGGCGACGACGGGUAGCCGGCCUGAGAGGGUGACCGGCCACACUGGGACUGAGAUACGGCCCAGACUCCUACGGGAGGCAGCAGUGGGGAAUAUUGCACAAUGGGCGCAAGCCUGAUGCAGCGACGCCGCGUGAGGGAUGACGGCCUUCGGGUUGUAAACCUCUUUCACCAGGGACGAAGCGCAAGUGACGGUACCUGGAGAAGAAGCACCGGCCAACUACGUGCCAGCAGCCGCGGUAAUACGUAGGGUGCGAGCGUUGUCCGGAAUUACUGGGCGUAAAGAGCUCGUAGGUGGUUUGUCGCGUUGUUCGUGAAAACUCACAACUCAAUUGUGGGCGUGCGGGCGAUACGGGCAGACUAGAGUACUGCAGGGGAGACUGGAAUUCCUGGUGUAGCGGUGGA
Molecule: ribosomal RNA, 608 nt
Filed under: uncultured Actinomycetes bacterium
Lineage: Bacteria; Bacillati; Actinomycetota; Actinomycetes
Description: bacterial SSU rRNA
Rfam family: Bacterial small subunit ribosomal RNA
Source: RNAcentral